This 384-nucleotide unclassified non-coding RNA is filed under the name uncultured Acidobacteriota bacterium. Its description in RNAcentral is "uncultured Acidobacteria bacterium contains 16S-23S intergenic spacer region". Lineage: Bacteria; Pseudomonadati; Acidobacteriota. The record is from RNAcentral.
UCCGGUUUGGCACCGGCAGUCCCCCGAGAGUCCUCAGCGUUUUGCAACCUGUUAGCAACACGGGGCGGGGGUUGCGCUCGUUGCGGGACUUAACCCAACAUCUCACGACACGAGCUGACGACAACCAUGCAGCACCUCUGCUGGCUUCCUUGCGGAUCAGUCUAUGUUUCCACCGCUGGUCAGUGGCAGUUCAAGCCCAGGUAAGGUUCUUCGCGUUGCGUCGAAUUGAACCACAUGUUCCACCGCUUGUGCGGGCCCCCGUCAAUUCCUUUGAGUUUCAGUCUUGCGACCGUACUCCCCAGGCGCAGGACUUAACGCGUUAGCUACGGGACGCACCCCCAACGGGAUGCACCCCAAGUCCUGAUCGUUUAGGGCUAGGACUAC